UACGGAGGGAGCUAGCGUUGUUCGGAAUUACUGGGCGUAAAGCGCACGUAGGCGGCUAUUCAAGUCAGAGGUGAAAGCCCGGGGCUCAACCCCGGAACUGCCUUUGAAACUAGGUAGCUAGAAUCUUGGAGAGGUCAGUGGAAUUCCGGGUGUAGAGGUGAAAUUCGUAGAUAUUCGGAAGAACACCAGUGGCGAAGGCGACUGACUGGACAAGUAUUGACGCUGAGGUGCGAAAGCGUGGGGAGCAAACAGG
RNAcentral lists this ribosomal RNA (253 nucleotides) under uncultured bacterium. RNAcentral's name for it is "partial 16S ribosomal RNA". It matches the Rfam family "Bacterial small subunit ribosomal RNA", at positions 524 to 776 of the family's 1533-position model. The record is from RNAcentral.